GUCCAGACUCCUACGGGAGGCAGCAGUGGGGGAUAUUGCACAAUGGAGGGAACUCUGAUGCAGCGACGCCGCGUGAGGGAAGAAGGUUUUCGGAUUGUAAACCUCUGUCUUCGGUGACGAAACGAGACGGUAGCCGAGGAGGAAGCCACGGCUAACUACGUGCCAGCAGCCGCGGUAAUACGUAGGUGGCAAGCGUUGUCCGGAAUUACUGGGUGUAAAGGGAGCGUAGGCGGGAAGACAAGUUGAAUGUUUAAACUAUCGGCUCAACCGAUAAUCGCGUUCAAAACUGUUUUUCUUGAGUGAAGUAGAGGCAGGCGGAAUUCCUAGUGUAGCGGUGAAAUGCGUAGAUAUUAGGAGGAACACCAGUGGCGAAGGCGGCCUGCUGGGCUUUAACUGACGCUGAGGCUCGAAAGCGUGGGUAGCAAACAGGAUUAGAUACCCCCGUAU
This 447-nucleotide ribosomal RNA is filed under the name uncultured bacterium. RNAcentral's name for it is "bacterial SSU rRNA". It matches the Rfam family "Bacterial small subunit ribosomal RNA", at positions 329 to 793 of the family's 1533-position model. The record is from RNAcentral.